Molecule: ribosomal RNA, 1737 nt
Filed under: Salmonella enterica
Lineage: Bacteria; Pseudomonadati; Pseudomonadota; Gammaproteobacteria; Enterobacterales; Enterobacteriaceae
Also listed under: 2 other names
Description: bacterial LSU rRNA
Rfam family: Bacterial large subunit ribosomal RNA
Source: RNAcentral
GUUGGGUAGGGGAGCGUUCUGUAAGCCUGUGAAGGUGGCCUGUGAGGGUUGCUGGAGGUAUCAGAAGUGCGAAUGCUGACAUAAGUAACGAUAAAGCGGGUGAAAAGCCCGCUCGCCGGAAGACCAAGGGUUCCUGUCCAACGUUAAUCGGGGCAGGGUGAGUCGACCCCUAAGGCGAGGCCGAAAGGCGUAGUCGAUGGGAAACGGGUUAAUAUUCCCGUACUUGGUGUUACUGCGAAGGGGGGACGGAGAAGGCUAUGUUGGCCGGGCGACGGUUGUCCCGGUUUAAGCGUGUAGGUGUGUGUUCCAGGUAAAUCCGGUUCACUUUAACACUGAGGCGUGAUGACGAGGCACUACGGUGCUGAAGCAACAAAUGCCCUGCUUCCAGGAAAAGCCUCUAAGCAUCAGGUAACAUCAAAUCGUACCCCAAACCGACACAGGUGGUCAGGUAGAGAAUACCAAGGCGCUUGAGAGAACUCGGGUGAAGGAACUAGGCAAAAUGGUGCCGUAACUUCGGGAGAAGGCACGCUGACACGUAGGUGAAGUGAUUUACUCAUGGAGCUGAAGUCAGUCGAAGAUACCAGCUGGCUGCAACUGUUUAUUAAAAACACAGCACUGUGCAAACACGAAAGUGGACGUAUACGGUGUGACGCCUGCCCGGUGCCGGAAGGUUAAUUGAUGGGGUCAGCGCAAGCGAAGCUCCUGAUCGAAGCCCCGGUAAACGGCGGCCGUAACUAUAACGGUCCUAAGGUAGCGAAAUUCCUUGUCGGGUAAGUUCCGACCUGCACGAAUGGCGUAAUGAUGGCCAGGCUGUCUCCACCCGAGACUCAGUGAAAUUGAACUCGCUGUGAAGAUGCAGUGUACCCGCGGCAAGACGGAAAGACCCCGUGAACCUUUACUAUAGCUUGACACUGAACAUUGAGCCUUGAUGUGUAGGAUAGGUGGGAGGCUUUGAAGUGUGGACGCCAGUCUGCAUGGAGCCGACCUUGAAAUACCACCCUUUAAUGUUUGAUGUUCUAACGUGGACCCGUAAUCCGGGUUGCGGACAGUGUCUGGUGGGUAGUUUGACUGGGGCGGUCUCCUCCUAAAGAGUAACGGAGGAGCACGAAGGUUGGCUAAUCCUGGUCGGACAUCAGGAGGUUAGUGCAAUGGCAUAAGCCAGCUUGACUGCGAGCGUGACGGCGCGAGCAGGUGCGAAAGCAGGUCAUAGUGAUCCGGUGGUUCUGAAUGGAAGGGCCAUCGCUCAACGGAUAAAAGGUACUCCGGGGAUAACAGGCUGAUACCGCCCAAGAGUUCAUAUCGACGGCGGUGUUUGGCACCUCGAUGUCGGCUCAUCACAUCCUGGGGCUGAAGUAGGUCCCAAGGGUAUGGCUGUUCGCCAUUUAAAGUGGUACGCGAGCUGGGUUUAGAACGUCGUGAGACAGUUCGGUCCCUAUCUGCCGUGGGCGCUGGAGAACUGAGGGGGGCUGCUCCUAGUACGAGAGGACCGGAGUGGACGCAUCACUGGUGUUCGGGUUGUCAUGCCAAUGGCACUGCCCGGUAGCUAAAUGCGGAAGAGAUAAGUGCUGAAAGCAUCUAAGCACGAAACUUGCCCCGAGAUGAGUUCUCCCUGAGACUUAGAGUCUCCUGAAGGAACGUUGAAGACGACGACGUUGAUAGGCCGGGUGUGUAAGCGCAGCGAUGCGUUGAGCUAACCGGUACUAAUGAACCGUGAGGCUUAACCUUACAACGCCGAAG